Long non-coding RNA from Salvia miltiorrhiza (redroot sage), 426 nucleotides. RefSeq lists it as uncharacterized. The record is from RefSeq and is a predicted model, not a curated record. The transcript has 2 exons. Lineage: Eukaryota; Viridiplantae; Streptophyta; Magnoliopsida; Lamiales; Lamiaceae.
AGGGUACAACCAGUCCUUGUUGAGCUACAAUCAUAAUAUAUCCCCUGCUUCUUAUUGUUGAUAUAAAUUUGGGAUGAAAUGCAGAAAGUGGAAGAGCGUGUGAUAAUGAAAUUGAAACAGCGGGAGAAGAUGAUGUGAGGCUAAGGCGAGUUGUUGUUGAGGUGCAGUCGGAAAGAGUAAAGCAGAUACUUGACCACAACUGUCGCUCUACAGGACAGAAGAAGCCACGCAAAGCUCAUACACACCCGACCUAGGCUCCAACUAUGCUAAUGCUAUCAUCUGCUUUCAUUGGAUUUCAAAUACAUUGCUUCUUUUCUUUCUUUCAACCCAUAUGUAUAUACUUAUCUGCUGUCUACUAACAAACAACCGCGCUUAUUACAACUCGAUGCUACUCUAAUUAUGCAACUCUCCUACUCCUUGCUCAAA